This 3090-nucleotide long non-coding RNA is filed under the name Sinocyclocheilus anshuiensis. Its description in RNAcentral is "lncRNA (ENSSANG00000000647.1)". Lineage: Eukaryota; Metazoa; Chordata; Actinopteri; Cypriniformes; Cyprinidae. The record is from RNAcentral.
AUUUGAAACGAUAGUGUACACCAGGUUAAGCUAUGUAUCAUGUGUAUCUAUAAUGGAACAUAUUUAAGGUGGGCAAAUUGUUCUACACUACAUUAUUACCGUGCAAGAUUUUUGUCGUAUCAGGAUAGCAUUACGUCAGGAGAUGGUUCACGUUGCUCCUAAGUCACGUGAGUGCUGAACGUUGCACUUCCUUGAAGUUAAUUUGAUGUUUUCUGCAUUAUUUGUUUGUUUAUUUCGUUAUUCAGCACAUUGCGAACUUACUAUGUGAAAAACCGAACAGUUUGGAGACACCUGACCUAUAUCUAAGAUAACGCCUAAAACAUGUAUUUCUCCAGCGUGGCUGCACUUUGCCCUAAUUGACGCUAAUAUAAUAUAAAGUGUAAAAUUCACAACAUUAACAGGAACGAUAACGGUAUUUGCAUUAGAAAGCUGUACGUCAAAAGACGAAGCAAUUUUCAUAGUGUACUGCGCAUGCGCUGCGAAAAAUCUGUUGUGAAUCGUGUGACGCAUGUAACAGCGUUUUACUGGUGCCAAUAUUGCAUGUUUCUUGAGCAAUUGUGGCUUAUUUCUUUGAGAAAUAGACAGAAUAAUUUGUGUAGAAAGUCAUUAUUAGUAUUGCGGCACUGCACUUGCUCUGAGAACAAUGUGGUUUAUGACAAGCCUGGCAGAGAGAGGGUUUUCAGAGGAAAGUAUCAAGAUCAAGAUAUGAACAGUGAUUUAGAGGAAGAUGUUCUGGUGGAUGACUGGCUGACAUCCAAACAAGAUCUAUUGGACACAUCAGAUGAAGAACUGAAUGAUGACCUUUUACGUAGCGAUGAUGAGAACGAAACUAUGAGAUGUCACAAUGAAAGCAUUCCUAAACCAAAACUGCAGGCGAUUGCAAAGCCUUACCUUGUUUGUGAAACUCCACACCUUGCUGAAGACCAAGCCAGAUGUCCUAAAGAAGAGGUGGAGGUGGACCCUGGUGAAGUUUUAGACAUCGAAAUCAAUGCUCCUUCUGGAGAUGAAUUUCAACAGGAAGUUGCUGACUACAGUGACCAUCAGCAGGCUGACAUAAAGAUGGAUGUUAAGGAUGGUAUUAAAGUGGUGUCCAGUUUACCCAUGCAGGAGUCAAGAGAGGGUGGAUCUGAGUUGCGAGAGGGUCUCUCUCCUCAGCCCUCUGGGCAUCAUCUCACACGCUCCUGCAGGGGACAACCUGCCCCAGAGGAAACCCUCACUGGACCCUCCCGCAGUCCUGAGCCAGUGUUCCCAGGACAGCAUAUGUUUGAUCAACAACACUCUGCUUCAGUCUUGGACACUAAUCCGCUCCUUGCUGGACCUACUCCCAUGGGCUCCAUUCAGCCUCCAGGAAAUGAGAGUGACCCCUGGAGGCCCAGUCUAGCUUUGCAGGGGCCCACGGAUCUGUCAAAGCCUGGGACUCCCCACCAUGGGCAAAAGCCUCUCCAGAAACAUCCAUCAGCUCAGUCUGGCUGCUCCUUUACUGCUCCCUCUGGACCACAGGCACAGAAACCUGCUGUGCUGGUAAGAGCUGUUGCCAGGAUGGUGCACAGUGCCAAGCCAAUGGCUGUUGCCAGGGGGAUGCCCAUUGCUGCAAGGCAGCCAGCAAGUGCCAAGUCUAAGAUAUCUGCCAAAACUCCACCAGCGCCAGGGAUGGUGGGAAGAAAUGUGGGUCAGAAGGUCAAGGUGCAGCCCCAAACUCCUCCAGUUACUCAAAAACUUCCCGCAAAGCCACUAAACAUGACAAACAACAAAGAGUGUGAAGAGGAGGUGUUCUACAUGGAGAGGCUGCGGGAGCAGAUGCGACUGAGGGAGCAGGUUAUCAAACAGAAGGAACGGAUGAGAUCUAGACGGGCUGCAAACAAGAAGCAUCUGUGGCAGGAGCGAUUCCAAAUUGAUAGUUCCACCGGACACUGGAACAACAACCAAAAUCAACAGACACAGCCGUGUGUCUUGGGUUCUUGCCCUCGGAAGGUUACACACCAGCAGCCCUUUCAUAAUCCCCCUCACUGUCUCGUCCUGGAGCGCCAUCCAGAAAUCCAGCCCUUGCCUUCAGAGCAGCACCAGCACCAGUACCAGGUUGUAGUACCCCCACUUCAGCCACCAUGGCAACAAGCUCCACCGACACAAGGGAAUCCAUCAGGCCGUGCAGCAGGGCUGCAGCAUAAUCAGCCUCAUCAGAGGGGCACAGACAGGGUGGUGUUACAGGGAAUGGAGCAAGUCCCAGAUCAGAUGAACCAACUGUACAGUAUAGAUGAAGUCUGGCGAGGACGCAAGAGGAAGUGUGAGCCGAGAACUUCUGACAGGCCUGUUCCCACCAAAAUUAGAGUGGUCAAACACCUCAGCCCAGUUAGUGUGAGUUGUGAUCUCACACCACAGAUGAGCGAAGAGACUAACACAGUGACUAAAACGAAGCCCAGAAUUGUCACCUUCAGAAUGCCUGAUUCAUCAUCACCUUCAUUUCUGCAACAGAGUCUCAAGUUAAACUGUCCCAAACAGGGAAGGGGAUCCGGCCCAAACCAGCCCCAGGAUGAGGUGGCUGUCAGGGGAAACCAACGCAGCGCUUUCAUACCCUUCAGUUUUGGCCUGAGAACAGAGUCUAUUACUGCUCAAACCCAUGUCAACUUCAUAGUAAGACUAAACCACUGAACCUCUUGGAAAUCAAGCCUUAUCUCUUGGAAAUCAAGCCUUAUCCAACAAAAUGCAGAGUAGAAAAUAUUCAGUGUUCUCACAGGUUUGGCAACGUUUUUGUUAUGAUGCAAUAUUUGCCUUUUUUGUGAUUGUUGAAGACAGUGGUUUGGCAUUUUGCUCCUUGGUUUCCAUUAAAUACCUACACUGCUUGCAUGUUCCUGCGUGGCUGUUCAUGUCAUUUAGCAAGAAACCCUUGAAUUUGUUUGUUCUUUGAUAUAUUGAUACUUUUAUACAGUCACUCUUACCGAUGUAUUAUUCCCCAUAAAUGUUUUUCAGUUUUAGAUAAAAAUGACCUAUAAAAACAAAGAUGGCAUCAUGAUGAAUUAUAGCCUGUUGACAACUGCCAGUAAUGUUUUAAUAAGCAUUAAAGGUAUUGUUCACCCAAAAAUUCUGCCGUUGUUC